Mizuhopecten yessoensis (Yesso scallop) is the source of this 895-nucleotide long non-coding RNA. RefSeq lists it as uncharacterized. The transcript is spliced from 4 exons. Lineage: Eukaryota; Metazoa; Mollusca; Bivalvia; Pectinida; Pectinidae. The record is from RefSeq and is a predicted model, not a curated record.
CCAUCCUUUCUUGUUAAUUAAUAUGGUGCCAAAGCCAGAUACAUGUAAAUCAAUUUGAAAUUACAAUUAAUUCCCAUGCUAAAACAAGAUAACCUGCUCAUCUCGGAGAUGAAUUUAUUUAUAUAUGGACAUAGUGGCAAGCUUCUGAGACAUGUGCUCCGAGUUUGAUAACUAUGUGGGACUGCAGACCAUUCCAUCUGACCAACUAGCAGCUUACACCUCUAAGGGUGGUGUCAAAGGCGGAGGGAUCCUUUUUUGAAAGGGGGUGGAAAUGACAGAAGGAAAAAGAGAACUUAGAAAGGAGAGAUGGGGUGAGAAGGUGAUGGAAGAGAGAAUGGAGGAUGACACAAAAGAUGAAGCAUUUAGCAGCCACAGCUGGCCGCUGUAGGAGGUAAUCAACCCAGGUAAAAGAACAAACUAUAUGCUGCUUCAACCAAAACAGAGGCAUCAGUGAAAAUAUAAAUAGAGAAAUUAUGCAAAUAAAAAUAUGAAAUGCUGGAAAGUGCAGAGGAGGGGGGAGGGGUGUAAAGAGGAAAAUUUGAAAACACAUGGAUUCCAAACAGAAAUUGACAGGAUGAGGAAGGAGGGUUCCUGAAGCCAUCAAAGCUCCACUGUACAGUACUAAAUGGAGUCGAUACAGCCUAACGGACUGCAGUAGAGACCUGGUACCAACAUGUACAGGAAACGAAACCAAUCUUCAUGGCGGUACCAGCAGAGAUUACAAACAAUCUCAAAUUAACUAAUGCCACGACUUUGUGUCCAUGAUUGCAUCAACUUGUUAAAAUGUCCUGAUUAUUCUAUUGAUUAAACAACCACAGUGUUUACUGCACAUGAUUCCUAGUUAGUAUACGUUACAUUAUUUGAAUUUAUCCUAAUGCACAGUACGCUUUUUGUA